AUUGAACGCUGGCGGCAGGCCUAACACAUGCAAGUCGAGCGGAUGAAGGGAGCUUGCUCCUGGAUUCAGCGGCGGACGGGUGAGUAAUGCCUAGGAAUCUGCCUGGUAGUGGGGGAUAACGUCCGGAAACGGGCGCUAAUACCGCAUACGUCCUGAGGGAGAAAGUGGGGGAUCUUCGGACCUCCCGCUAUCAGAUGAGCCUAGGUCGGAUUAGCUAGUUGGUGGGGUAAAGGCCUACCAAGGCGACGAUCCGUAACUGGUCUGAGAGGAUGAUCAGUCACACUGGAACUGAGACACGGUCCAGACUCCUACGGGAGGCAGCGGUGGGGAAUAUUGGACAAUGGGCGAAAGCCUGAUCCAGCCAUGCCGCGUGUGUGAAGAAGGUCUUCGGAUUGUAAAGCACUUUAAGUUGGGAGGAAGGGCAGUAAGUUAAUACCUUGCUGUUUUGACGUUACCAACAGAAUAAGCACCGGCUAACUUCGUG
Molecule: ribosomal RNA, 484 nt
Filed under: uncultured bacterium
Lineage: Bacteria
Description: partial 16S ribosomal RNA
Rfam family: Bacterial small subunit ribosomal RNA
Source: RNAcentral